Long non-coding RNA from Cotesia glomerata, 409 nucleotides. RefSeq lists it as uncharacterized. NCBI's taxonomy places the organism in Eukaryota, Metazoa, Arthropoda, Insecta, Hymenoptera, Braconidae. The record is from RefSeq and is a predicted model, not a curated record. The transcript has 3 exons.
AUCUUUGUUGUUUUUUCCUAUUCUUUUUCCAUUUAAUAAGGUAUUCUGAUAAGAGUUUCAGUAUAUAAAAAAGGUGGUUGAAGCUACUGGAUCCAUUUGUCCUGAUAGUAAGACUUUGUUUUUACUAUUCUACAUCAAUAUAUUUAAAAAAACUUAAUCUAAAAUGUCGAAAUUUUUUAUGCUGAUCGUCUUGAUCGCUGUAUUAGCCAACGUUGUGAUCAAUGUAAUGGCAGAUUGCAAAAAAGCAGAUGACGAGUGCAAAACUCAUGAGGACUGCUGUACUAAUUAUUGUGAAGGGGUAUUUGAUGGAUACUCUGAAUGUGUAGAUGUAAAAAAAAGACAAGGAUAAAAUAUUUUAAAACUACAAUGUAAUCCAAUAAGCGAUGAAUAAAAUUCAUUUUGAACACUA